This is a long non-coding RNA of Pseudophryne corroboree (corroboree frog), 1060 nucleotides long. RefSeq lists it as uncharacterized. The transcript has 4 exons. Lineage: Eukaryota; Metazoa; Chordata; Amphibia; Anura; Myobatrachidae. The record is from RefSeq and is a predicted model, not a curated record.
CCAGAGCCAUGAUAUCUGCAGCAGGGGCCGGCUGUCAGUUUGUGGUAACUAUGGCAAUGCCGCCACGCUGCCGGCACUACAACCUGCUCACCAGCGACACACGCAACCUUCCAUAUGCUAGUUCACUAUAUCCAUCCGCCCGUUCACCGCUGUACUGUAGCGUAGGAAGCUAACAUCAGAGAAAUAAACAAUGCAUCAACACCUGCAGUGACGCCGCAGUGUUCAUAUAAAGGUAUCUUUCAUCUGUGCAGAACGACCUUCACUCCAAACAAGGCUUGCAUCCCAAUAGAGAACAAUGGAAUAAGGAGGCUUUAAUUUCGGCCUUUUGGAGUGGCCUGUACGACCGUUUGAAGGAUGAUUUGGCGACGCGUGACUUACCAUCUAAACUGGAUGACCUCAUUUCAUUGUGCAAUAAGGUUGACUUACGAUUCCGUGAGAGGCAAGCUAAGAAGAACAAGGGUGAUCGCUAUCGAUUUUGACCUGCACCACUGGUACCCAUCCCUCCUGCAGUGGAUCCUCCUGAGGAACCCAUGCAACUCAAUUGGGCCUGGCUCACUCCUGAGGAGUGCCUGAAGUGGCUGCGGGAGAACUUUUGCCUAUUUUGCGGAGCACUGGGGCAUAUGGUGGCAUCAGGCACUCAGCGUCUGGGAAACUACUUCUCCUAACUGGGCUAGGAGACACCAGAUUCCGGAGCUGCAGAGAACUUCAUCACGGCAGCCUUGGUCCAGCAAUUUCAAAUUCCUGUGCAGGACUUACCUCAUUCAAUUUCGUUAUCUGUGGUUGAUGGAAGCCACAUUUCCAGUGGAAUUAUUACUCAAUGUACUUUCCCUGUUUCAGUUGGUACUGGUGCCCUUCAUAAAGAGAAAUUAAAACUAUUAGUUAUACCCAAGCGUCACAUGAAAUUGUGCUGGGUUACCCUUGGUUAAGUAAGCACAAUCCAUAUAUUGAUUGGCAGUCCAUGCAAAUCUUGUCGUAAGGAAAGACAUGCUUUACCUCUUACCUGCCGUGUAUUAAGCCGCUCAAUAAAGUUCUUGUUACUUCUUCACCGCAGAUUCCGUCU